RNAcentral lists this long non-coding RNA (1533 nucleotides) under Bos indicus x Bos taurus (hybrid cattle). RNAcentral's name for it is "lncRNA (ENSBIXG00005027889.1)". The record is from RNAcentral. Lineage: Eukaryota; Metazoa; Chordata; Mammalia; Artiodactyla; Bovidae.
GUGGCCUUGAGCUCCCACAUGGCUGCAGGCAUGUCUAGGGGCUGGAGCGUGCCCGGGGAGGGGCUCCAAGAGUGGGUGGGGUCAGCACCACCUCCCUCCACUACACAGCCCCCCUGGACUUGCCAUCACUGCCCUGUUACAUCUGAGCUUUUCUUCACCCUGGAUUGAGGACAGGGCCGGGUGCUCCUUCCUGACCCCCCUCCCCGCCCCCUUUGCCUCCCGCACAUCUCGUCGUGGAAGGCUGGGAGGGCCGCCUUCAUCACCCGCAUGAUGAAACUUCUGAAUAUUCGGACGUGGGCUCCUGGCUGGAGGUGUCAUGUCUUUCCCUCUGUUGUUGGUCUGGAGACAACACGGGCUCCCUGGUUUACCUGUGUAGUCCCAGGGCGUCUCAGGUGCCAGGAGCCGCUGCGGUGAUCGCCUCGUCUCCUGUCAGAUGUGGUUGGAGAGAGACGAGGACAGCAUGACCACUGGGCACCGCACACUACAGAGGUCAGCUUGCAAGGACAGCGGGACGGCGGUGAUGUGGCCGUGACUAGUUGUCAAGAUAUGACCGGGGCGUUUACUGAGGACUUCCAGGACAAAAACAAGCAUUCGGGUGCACCCUGGUUGCUUAUGGUGCUGUAAAACCUGCUCCAGAUGUCAUAUUUCUCCUCUGACAGUGAAAUGUCAGAGACCAAACAGAUAACACACUUCAAAAAUAUAGUACGGCCCCCAAAGCCAGCCAGCCACCUCGUCUGGUAUUCGACAGAAGAAGGAAUAACUGACCAAAGAUGGAGGAAGGUGAAUAUGCUGCACUUAGCAGGAGAAGGAUGUUGGUGUCCGAUGCUAUGCUGUCUUAAGGGUCUUCUGAGGCCCACACAGAUGGCCCUGUAUGUGCUGACUUGGGACCCUCACUCCAUGUUUCCUCGGCAGAGAGAGGGCAUCUCAGGCUACCUUCUCAAGCCAGUUUGGGUCAACAGGGCAUCACAGGUCACCUGUCGGAAGAGAGCUGGAGGCUGGGAUCCAGCUGGAAGUUGUGAAUCUGGUAUGGCUCCAUCUUACAGAGGAUUUGUGUUGGUGAAGAUUGGGAGUUAUUUUAUUCUUUCGUUAUGGGUCGUUUCAGCAGCACCCCUCAUGAUGCCCUUACUUGGACUCACCAGAUGUCGUUGUAGAAAUGGCUCAUAGUGGAACCCUCCCAUUACUGGAGGCACGCUCUUUCUUCCCAAAUGAAGGAGAAGUCACCCCUUUGGGUCUUGAAGCCGGUGGAUGCAGCUGAGACCUGGAUGCUAAGGAAGUAUCCAGAUGAAGUUUGAAUGUCUGAAGAUGAGUCCAUCAGCCUUAAUUUGCACUGCAUCACAUUUGCAAGUUGCAAAAUGGAAUUUGCAAUUGCUUUUCAGCAAUGUUCAAAUUAGCACUUCUUAGCAUAUUAAUGAGCUACUUUUUUUUUUUUUUCAUUAUGUGACCAAUUUUAAUGUAAAUAGCAGUCUCCAUGCAAAGAUUAGGUCAGUGUUUCACGAGAAUAAAGUUCCAAAGCUUUUUAUGGAGUCUGAGGAU